Molecule: ribosomal RNA, 234 nt
Filed under: uncultured bacterium
Lineage: Bacteria
Description: partial 16S ribosomal RNA
Rfam family: Bacterial small subunit ribosomal RNA
Source: RNAcentral
UACGUAGGGUGCAAGCGUUGUCCGGAAUUAUUGGGCGUAAAGAGCUCGUAGGCGGUUUGUCGCGUCUGCUGUGAAAUCCUCAGGCUCAACCUGGGGCUUGCAGUGGGUACGGGGCAGACUAGAGUGCGGUAGGGGUGACUGGAAUUCCUGGUGUAGCGGUGGAAUGCGCAGAUAUCAGGAGGAACACCGAUGGCGAAGGCAGAUCUCUGGGCCGUAACUGACGCUGGAGGAGCG